Molecule: ribosomal RNA, 253 nt
Filed under: uncultured bacterium
Lineage: Bacteria
Description: partial 16S ribosomal RNA
Rfam family: Bacterial small subunit ribosomal RNA
Source: RNAcentral
UACGUAGGGGGCAAGCGUUGUCCGGAAUCAUUGGGCGUAAAGAGCGUGUAGGCGGGCAGGUAAGUCCGUGGUGAAAUCUCUGAGCUUAACUCAGAAACUGCCAUGGAUACUAUUUGUCUUGAAUGUUGUGGAGGUAAGCGGAAUAUGUCAUGUAGCGGUGAAAUGCUUAGAUAUGACAUAGAACACCAAUUGCGAAGGCAGCUUACUACACAAAUAUUGACGCUGAGGCACGAAAGCGUGGGGAUCAAACAGG